This is a non-coding RNA of Taeniopygia guttata (zebra finch), 578 nucleotides long. Lineage: Eukaryota; Metazoa; Chordata; Aves; Passeriformes; Estrildidae. The record is from RefSeq and is a predicted model, not a curated record.
AGGUGAUUGACACUUGAACAACCAGAAAAUUUAGAGAAUGCAACUUGUACAUCUAUGCAAGACUGACAUUUCUCUGGGCAGCUCUGUGUGAGGAGUGUUUGCUAAGGAAGGUGAUGCUUUGCUGACUCCACAACCUGAGCACAGCUGUACACGGUUCGCCUGCAUUUACAAUAAGGAGCGAUGCAGUUUGAUCUGACUGGCAGCCCUCCUGCCAAGGCUCUCCCUGGUGUUUCCCAGACUUUGGGUGAGUCUAAACUCCUCUUCUCUCCACCUUGAUUCAGCACCAGCAGCUGCAGUAGGGACUGCCCCAGGUGUCACCACCGAGGGGAGCAGGGGCUGGUGGCACCUGUCACUGCCAUCACUGAUAAACCCACCUAACUCUGGGUCUCAGAGGUUUCCAGCAGCCCGGACUCACGCUGACAUGGCUGAGCAUGAGUUUAAACUGCUUCUGCACAGAGGUGUCACACCCAACAGGCAGAAGCCUUGGGCCAUUCAAGUGCACAGAAGAUACAAUCCUGUUAAGGAUAUGUUCUGUUUUGAAAGCAAAGCCAGGGAGAAGCUCCAAGUCAGAAAUACAA